Long non-coding RNA from Oxyura jamaicensis (ruddy duck), 233 nucleotides. RefSeq lists it as uncharacterized. The transcript is spliced from 3 exons. The record is from RefSeq and is a predicted model, not a curated record. Lineage: Eukaryota; Metazoa; Chordata; Aves; Anseriformes; Anatidae.
UAGAACAAGAGGGAACGGUUUUAAACUAAACGAGGGGAGAUUUAGCUUAGAAGUUAGAAGGAAAUUCUCCACUCAGAGGGUGGUGAGGCGCUGGCACAGGUUGCCCAGAGAAGCUGUGGAUGCCCCAUCCCUGGAGGUGUUCAAGGCCAGGUUGGACAAGGCACUGGGCAAUCUGAUCUAUUGGGUGGCAUCUGUGCCCAUGGCAGAGGGGGUUGGAGCUAGAUAAUCCUUGA